AGAGUUUGAUCAUGGCUCAGGACGAACGCUGGCGGCGUGCUUAACACAUGCAAGUCGAACGGUGAAGCUCCAAGCUUGCUUGGGGUGGAUCAGUGGCGAACGGGUGAGUAACACGUGAGCAACCUGCCCCGGACUCUGGAAUAAGCGCUGGAAACGGCGUCUAAUACUGGAUAUGACAUCAAGCCGCAUGGUUAUGGUGUGGAAAGUUUUUCGGUCCGGGAUGGGCUCGCGGCCUAUCAGCUUGUUGGUGAGGUAAUGGCUCACCAAGGCGACGACGGGUAGCCGGCCUGAGAGGGCGACCGGCCACACUGGGACUGAGACACGGCCCAGACUCCUACGGGAGGCAGCAGUGGGGAAUAUUGCACAAUGGGCGAAAGCCUGAUGCAGCGACGCCGCGUGAGGGAUGACGGCCUUCGGGUUGUAAACCUCUUUCAGCAGGGAAGAAGCGAAAGUGACGGUACCUGCAGAAGAAGCACCGGCUAACUACGUGCCAGCAGCCGCGGUAAUACGUAGGGUGCGAGCGUUGUCCGGAAUUAUUGGGCGUAAAGAGCUUGUAGGCGGUUUGUCGCGUCUGCUGUGAAAAUCCGGGGCUCAACCCCGGACUUGCAGUGGGUACGGGCAGACUAGAGUGUGGUAGGGGAGACUGGAAUUCCUGGUGUAGCGGUGAAAUGCGCAGAUAUCAGGAGGAACACCGAUGGCGAAGGCAGGU
RNAcentral lists this ribosomal RNA (709 nucleotides) under uncultured Janibacter sp. RNAcentral's name for it is "bacterial SSU rRNA". It matches the Rfam family "Bacterial small subunit ribosomal RNA", at positions 8 to 726 of the family's 1533-position model. The record is from RNAcentral. Lineage: Bacteria; Bacillati; Actinomycetota; Actinomycetes; Micrococcales; Intrasporangiaceae.